UACGGAGGGAGCUAGCGUUAUUCGGAAUUACUGGGCGUAAAGCGCACGUAGGCGGCUUUGUAAGUAAGAGGUGAAAGCCCAGAGCUCAACUCUGGAAUUUGCCUUUAGACUGCAUCGCUUGAAUCAUGGAGAGGUCAGUGGAAUUCCGAGUGUAGAGGUGAAAUUCGUAGAUAUUCGGAAGAACACCAGUGGCGAAGGCGGCUGACUGGACAUGUAUUGACGCUGAGGUGCGAAAGCGUGGGGAGCAAACAGG
Molecule: ribosomal RNA, 253 nt
Filed under: uncultured bacterium
Lineage: Bacteria
Description: partial 16S ribosomal RNA
Rfam family: Bacterial small subunit ribosomal RNA
Source: RNAcentral